Rhincodon typus (whale shark) is the source of this 685-nucleotide long non-coding RNA. RefSeq lists it as uncharacterized. The transcript has 3 exons. Lineage: Eukaryota; Metazoa; Chordata; Chondrichthyes; Orectolobiformes; Rhincodontidae. The record is from RefSeq and is a predicted model, not a curated record.
CCAGUGUCCAGUGUCCAGUGUCCAGUGUCCAGAAAGGGUGACUUGGUUUUGGGAACUGGCCUCUGUGCAGUUAUUUCAGAAGUGUUGGUUCAUAGUUACUCUACCACUAUAUGGAUGCUGAAGGGCAACUCCAGGCUGACUGUAUUUGACUUCAUUCUCAGCUGGGCUGUAAAGAUGGUGCUGGUGCCAGGGUUCCUAGGAAGUGGAAAGCAGGACCUGAGAUUGAACAGCCGAUUGAAAUGUGACAACUCCAACAGUGCAGCAUUCCCUCCAUCCACUGGAGAAGCUGACCUGAGUUACAUGCGCAUUUCUCUGAAUGGAAAUACAUGAGCUGCAACCUCACCAUUCAGGAAGAUGUAUUUAAGAUGAUGCCUUUUGAAAUAACUCCAGAGGCUGGUAUCCCAUCACCAAGUCACCCCUUUUUCACACAUGGGGAGUCCUUGACACUGGAUCCAGGUCCUUCAGAGCCAGCUCUCAGAGAACAGAACCUCAGACACUCCUGAUUAUAUCUGUCAGCCAGUGCUUCCUGACUGGGGCUGUUAAUCUGGUCCAAUCAGGGAAUUCCUAUUCUGAGGUCAGCCUUGUUGACCUUGUUGCAAUCAUGACACCUUUCUUUAUGUAAAAGAAUGUGUUUGUAAUUUGAAAAUUGCUAAACUUAUGACAAUUUAAAAACUGUGGUGUUAAU